CUUGGCUCUAAGGGCUCCUUUUUGGUUCUUUAUGAAAUUUAAAGUAGUUUUUUUCUAAUUCUGUGAAGGAAGUCCAUGGUAGCUUGAUGGGGAUAGCAUUGAAUCUAUAAAUUACUUUGGGCAGUAUGGCCAUUUUCACGAUAUUGAUUCUUCCUAUCCAUGAGCAUGGAAUGUUUUUCUAUUUGUUUGUGUCCUCUUUUAUUUCCUUGAGCAGUG
This 216-nucleotide long non-coding RNA is filed under the name Homo sapiens (human). Its description in RNAcentral is "LHRI_LNC993.1". The record is from RNAcentral. Lineage: Eukaryota; Metazoa; Chordata; Mammalia; Primates; Hominidae.